GCUGGGUCGAAAAUAGGGGGUUGAAGAGAGAUUUCUAACAAAUCAGAAAUCCUUGCAUUAUCAAAAAUUGCCUUAGUAGGACCAUGGUCCACAAGGCGAGCAUGCCAUCUACGGAAAACAACAUUAGAUUUAGGUCAAGUGCGAAUACCUCUUUCGCGAAGGGGCCCCAGCGGCAAAGAAUUUAGAAACGGAGGGCCUUGAGUACAAGUGAACAGCUGACCGACCACCGCUUGUUCGAUGGCCUCUGCAUUGUUAAAUAAAGGACCUAGAUAGAACUCAUUGAGUUCAACAUUGGCCGGUACAAGGAAGUUCGGAGUUAUAUAUGGCCGAGUAAGGAGUUUCUGAAAGUCUUCGAAACUAAAGGAGUCACCAGACUGGGAUUGUGAAGCAGUCAUUAGGGACGAAAUAGAGUUUUUCAGAGUUACGUAGCAGAGAAGCAAGGAGAUGAACAAUAAUAUUGUAAGAGAGAAGCGCGAAAAAAUGAUGCAUGAUUUAGUGGUGCAAUGAAAUGGCGUAUUUGGGGGUUAUAAGGGUUUGCAAACGUCGCACCUUUUCAGGCUAUGGAAGAAAACAAUAAUUGAAAUUCUUGGGAGUUUCGAAUAUUGCUGGGAAACACAAAG
Molecule: long non-coding RNA, 620 nt
Filed under: Olea europaea subsp. europaea
Lineage: Eukaryota; Viridiplantae; Streptophyta; Magnoliopsida; Lamiales; Oleaceae
Source: RNAcentral